AGUGAGGUGGCGAACGGGUGAGUAACACGUGAGUAACCUGCCCCGUCUUUGGAUAACGCCCGGAAACGGGUGCUAAUACUGGAUAUUCACUGGCCUUCGCAUGGGGGUUGGGUGGAAAGGUUUUUUCGUAGGUGGGGGGAGUGGGCUCGCGGCCUAUCAGCUUGUUGGUGGGGUGAUGGCCUACCAAGGCUUUGACGGGUAGCCGGCCUGAGAGGGUGACCGGUCACAUUGGGACUGAGAUACGGCCCAG
RNAcentral lists this ribosomal RNA (250 nucleotides) under uncultured bacterium. Its description in RNAcentral is "partial 16S ribosomal RNA". It matches the Rfam family "Bacterial small subunit ribosomal RNA", at positions 89 to 334 of the family's 1533-position model. The record is from RNAcentral.